RNAcentral lists this ribosomal RNA (427 nucleotides) under uncultured bacterium. Its description in RNAcentral is "partial 16S ribosomal RNA". It matches the Rfam family "Bacterial small subunit ribosomal RNA", at positions 355 to 774 of the family's 1533-position model. The record is from RNAcentral.
UAGGGAAUCUUCCGCAAUGGGCGCAAGCCUGACGGAGCAACGCCGCGUGAGUGAUGAAGGUCUUCGGAUCGUAAAACUCUGUUAUUAGGGAAGAACAAACGUGUAAGUAACUGUGCACGUCUUGACGGUACCUAAUCAGAAAGCAACGGCUAACUACGUGCCAGCAGCCGCGGUAAUACGUAGGUGGCAAGCGUUAUCCGGAAUUAUUGGGCGUAAAGCGCGCGUAGGCGGUUUUUUAAGUCUGAUGUGAAAGCCCACGGCUCAACCGUGGAGGGUCAUUGGAAACUGGAAAACUUGAGUGCAGAAGAGGAAAGUGGAAUUCCAUGUGUAGCGGUGAAAUGCGCAGAGAUAUGGAGGAACACCAGUGGCGAAGGCGACUUUCUGGUCUGUAACUGACGCUGAUGUGCGAAAGCGUGGGGAUCAAACA